Molecule: long non-coding RNA, 533 nt
Filed under: Nicotiana benthamiana
Lineage: Eukaryota; Viridiplantae; Streptophyta; Magnoliopsida; Solanales; Solanaceae
Description: long non-coding RNA (NBEN_LNC017680)
Source: RNAcentral
CUGAAUUACAUCGGAAGAUUAAAAAAGAAAAUUACAAUCAUAGGAGGCCAGAUUCCUGAUUUACUUUUUGAAUUAUGGACCAAAUCACUUCAAAAGCCAUUUGUUUCAAAGCCUUUCUCAAACUUGAGUGUGUAAAAGUUCCGUAAGAGCCUCAAUAAAACUCCGGACAGUGCUCACAACAAAAUUGCAUCACCAGAAUAGGGACAAGUGCAAUGUGAAUGUGUCGGCCCUCAUGUGUCCAAGUUCAGAGGGAGCUCAUGGGUUCCAAGGCAAGGCUCACAUGAGGGGGGCUGAAAUUAAGUCUUAGAAGAUAGUGUAAGUGCAAAAACAAAGUUCUAAGAGCUGAGGGAAUAAAGGAGAGGGGUAAAGGGUGGUAGGGAAACAAUUCCAGAGUUGAUAACUUGAUACAAAAGGGAUUUAGGGUUGGGAAUGGCAAAGAGCCUAUGUAUUUAGGCAAGGGUGAACUUUGGUCAUGCACAACAACAGAAGAUGUUGGCAUGCCUGUAAGCCCACCAGAACACACAACACUAGAG